GGUGGAACUAUUAAAGAAUUUUCGGUCAUCGAUGGGGAUGCGUUCCAUUAGGUUGUUGGCGGGGUAACGGCCACCAAGCCUUCGAUGGAUAGGGGUUCUGAGAGGAAGGUCCCCCACAUUGGAACUGAGACACGGUCCAAACUCCUACGGGAGGCAGCAGUGAGGAAUAUUGGUCAAUGGACGAGAGUCUGAACCAGCCAAGUAGCGUGAAGGAUGAAGGUCCUACGGAUUGUAAACUUCUUUUAUAAGGGAAUAAACCCUCCCACGUGUGGGAGCUUGUAUGUACCUUAUGAAUAAGCAUCGGCUAACUCCGUG
Molecule: ribosomal RNA, 315 nt
Filed under: uncultured bacterium
Lineage: Bacteria
Description: bacterial SSU rRNA
Rfam family: Bacterial small subunit ribosomal RNA
Source: RNAcentral